Molecule: ribosomal RNA, 468 nt
Filed under: uncultured bacterium
Lineage: Bacteria
Description: partial 16S ribosomal RNA
Rfam family: Bacterial small subunit ribosomal RNA
Source: RNAcentral
GACGAACGCUGGCGGCGUGCUUAACACAUGCAAGUCGAACGGAAAGGCCCUGCUUUUGUGCGCUUCUCGAUUGGCGAACGGGUGAGUAACACGUGAGUAACCUGCCCUUGACUUUGGUAUAACUUCAGGAAACUGGGGCUAAUACCGGAUAGGAGCUCCUGCUGCAUGGUGGGGGUUGGAAAGCUUCGGCUGUUGGGGAUGGACUCGCGGCUUAUCAGCUUGUUGGUGGGGUAGUGGCUGCCCAAGGCUUUGACCGGUAGCCGGCCUGAGAGGGUGACCGGCCACCUUGGGACUGCGAUAGGGCCCAGACUCCUAUGGGAGGCAGUAGUGGGGAAUAUUGUACAAUGGUCGGAAGCCUGAUGCAGCAACGCUGCGUUCGUGAUGACGGCUUUCGGGUUGUAAAACGCUUUCGCUUGUGACGACGCUUUAGUGACGGUAAUGGGUAAAGAAGCACCGGCUAACUACGUG